Molecule: non-coding RNA, 5925 nt
Organism: Oryza sativa Japonica Group (Japanese rice)
Lineage: Eukaryota; Viridiplantae; Streptophyta; Magnoliopsida; Poales; Poaceae
Source: RefSeq, a predicted model, not a curated record
GAACCCCCUCUGUUUAUCCCCCACAAACCGAGCUUGAAGCCCUCCUCUCUUUUCUCUCUCCUUGCCAUGGCCGGCUAUCACUGUCGUCGGCCGAUCUCCCUCACCGGAGCAAUACCGGCCAAUCCCUCGCGCCAUCGAGCUUGCCUCGAUGAGAGGAAUCCAUUUUUCCCCUUUCCCCUCUUCCUCCACCUCUGAAUCAAACCUCACCGGAGCUCUCUCUCUCCUCCCGGUUCACGACCUUCCAUCCGCCGUUCCGGCUAUUUCCCUUACUCCCUUUGCCGGCCACUGCCAUCCCUAGGUGCGUUGCAGUCGGGAACACCACUGGCCGCCGGCGUCACCGCCUCCUCGCCACCGGAGCCCGGCGCCCCCUCUCCUCCUCCUCUCUGUUCGACCGAGGAGAAAAAGAAGAAAGAGACGGGAAGAAGAAGAAGAAGAAGAAGAAGAGGAGAAAAAGAAAAAGAAAAAGGAAUCCCUGACAGGUGGGCCCAUGAACAGUAUACUUUCGCAAUUUACUCUAUUUAAUUCAAAUUCCAAUCUUUAGAAGCCUAUAUAUCCUAAACCGUAGAUCCGAUCUCAGUGAAACCUAGACCUAAAUUCAUCUAAAUUCAAAUGCUUCAUUUUGAUGCCUAAUUUGUUAUUUUAUAAUUUUAUUUGAAUUUAUUCAAAUAUCAAUUGAAUUUAUAUUUGCCUUUUUCAAAUAUUUUCUUUUACCCCAAAAUACCCUUUAGCCACUAAAAAGCCGCCGGUUGGAACUUUACGCCUUCCAUGGGGACGUUUGCGGUCUAUUGGCCCCGACGUCGAACCGUUGGUUGUAAAGCCCGGCAAAACCAAACCCAAGGUCGAAGUGCUGCUCCUGGCACCCCACGCCUUGAUGCGUACAACGGUCGGAGCUUCACUAUUCCCUCGACCUCGCACAGUUAGCUCUUGAGCUCUGUGUGAUCCUAGCCGCUCCCCCGCCACUCAUGGUUGUUGGAGUAACACUUCCGCCUCGCUAAACCUGCACAAACCUCCCAUCCCUCUAGCCGUUAUAUUGUCUAUCGACACCGGCUAGAGAAGAUACCAAACCUAGUCGUCAUGCUUUAGCGACGACUAGCGAACACCCAAACCCUAGUCGAUAUUUAUCUUACCUCGAUAUCGGCUUAGACAACUGAAACCUUAGUCAACUUAUUUUCUAGACUCCCCACCAGCUAUAAUCACAACCAUUUACCUGCCUACUACCCAUAGCCUAUGCAUGAAUUACGAGCCGAUAUGCUAUCCUAUUUCAGCAUCGACUCGAGAACAACUAAAUCCUAGCCAUUCUUCUACCAAAGCCCAACCUCGACCAAUACUAGCCACAUAUCCACUUAACCAGUUAGAUUAUUCGGUAUAUCUCCUACUCUCCAAGAAACCAAAACCCACACAAGAAAUAUAAGCGACAAUUGUUGCUUAAUCUCCUAUCCACCUUAGCCCCCAACCCUUUAGAACCUGCACAUAAAAUAUCAGCCCAGUAAUCCAUAUACCUGCAUAAAAGAGAUAACCUAAACCCUAGUCCUCCUAACUGUUUAUCUCUUUCUUGCUAUUUUAUGGCUUUUAUUGAAUUUGGAUCUUCCUCUUCUUCAGUAGAGUCUAUUUUAUAUGGAUAGCAACCUAUGGUAUUUCAAGCAUCAAAUAAUCAGGUUGCCUAUUUCGGAUUUAUUUGCGUUGGAGCAAGGCAAGUUAUUAUUUCUCUCCUUUGAGCAUAAUAAUCCUAUAUUCUAUAUCUCCAGUAUCUUCUGCAUUAGCCAUACAUGAUUUUAAAUGCAUAACCUGAAUAUAUAGCAAACCAGAUAUAUGCUAGAUUUUGCUUAGCCAUGCCUAGUUAGAUUAUGCAUAAAAUAUAAUAAACUUAGAUUGGGACAGUACGGUAGAAAUGGUUGAUUUCCGGGUGGCUAGUACUGUUCCAACCGACAUAAGACUACCAAGUACAUGUGAAGAACAUACGAGUACGACCGCAAUUCUCGUAUGGGCAUAGACCUAGCUGAUUAAGUUAUCUAGCAAAGGCGGUACCUCUGUAUAGUGGUUCUUCUUAAGUCCUCGCACAGGAGGCAAACUUACGCCGAGCAGGGCGAUUGUGAUAUUUACCGAGGCGCAGGUAAAUAUCUUAAUUAUCUCGUGAGCUGUGUGUGUGAAUUAUGAAAACCUGAUUGAGAUGACGAGGGUCUCUCAACCAGUUCUCUCUAAAAACCCCGGGAACACCAGAACUCCUCUCGCUGCUGAUAACGUUACGUUCAGAGCGUGUGGGGACUAGAGUUCAUGGAACAGGUACCAUUGAUGUUAGUGACCGAAAAGCUUUGCCAUGACAAGGCUAAUGUGUUUGGCACGUCAUGGAUUGCGGGUAAAGCGUAUAUCUACUGCAGUAUGAAUAUUAUUAAAACUAUUUGAAUAGCCAUGCUUGCGGUUAUCGGGCAUUGGGACUCACAAUGUCAUCUUGGUUAGAAACAUAAUUUCAAACUUUAUUAAAUACUGUUGCAUUUAAAACAUUAUAGACUUUCCUUCUAUAUUCUCUGCUUUCUGCAAGUAAAUCUAACCCUACUCGAAUAUUAUUAUUUCAUGCAUUCAUUGUUGAUUAAUAUAAUAGCUUGCUGAGUACGUUGUACUCACCCUUGCUUCAACCCCACAUUUUUUUCAGUCCGUUUGAUGUUCUUACUGAAGCCGGGAGUUCAAUCAUAUAAGUUAAUCUCAUUUUAACUUAGUUCUCAAGUAUAGAUUAGAUAGAUGGUUUAAGUCUAUAGCAAAACACUAGAGUUGAGUCAUCAUAUAGCUUCUGCUGUAAUAGUUAGCCACAAGCUUGUAAAUACCCUUAUAUUUUGUAAUAUUAUCUCCUUUGAAACCUUGAUCAAAUGUAUGCAAUGAAGAUCCAGAUCGUUGAACAUGUAUCAAUCUACUGAUCCAGGGCUUGAUACAGUCUAAACAUGUCGGUUUCCGAAUCAUUAGUUUUGGGACCCCACACCAAAUUUCUUCCUCCUUGGCAUAGGUGACUUUCAAUAGUCCACCAAGGAGUGAUGGCAGGAUAAAAGUGACACUUCUCUACCAUGCUGAACCAUCCCAGAAAGCUUCUCCGACCACUACAUUCUAUUUUGCAUUGAGGUAAAGCCAGUAUAGAAACAACAAGUAUUCUCACCCACUUUAGCAUAUUGCUAGCUUUUUUGAGUACUACAAAAUUAGCUGUGUUGUAUAUAUGUAGAGUUCAGGUUACAGUUUCCAAUCCAACCAUACGCUCAUUCAUUUCUUCCUUAGAAUGGAAAUAUUUGUGUUGGAGCAUUUUCAGAAUUCGAACAAGCAAAGUUCUGUAUAGUAUCACAACUACCUAGCAUCAGUGAUAAAUAUAGAUGCUACUCAAAGCUUUUUAAUUAGUAUAGUAUUCCUUUUCACCAGAGUUGAUAUGGGAGAGAAAUUAUAGAACUCCUGGAAAGUGAUGUAGUUUUUUUAUAGAUGUGGGAUAUUUAAGUAUCUUAAUCUGUUGAUUUAAAAUUAUUGUCAUUGGCAAGCAUUGAUGAUAUAUGUCAUUGGUAAGCAUUGAUCUGAUCGUUGCUUAAUCUCUUUUCCUUAAUUUGUAUUGAAAGACUACUAGGAAGUAUUCAAUUCUUAGCACUACUUAACACUGAUCCAAUACAAAGAUGAUCUGAUUGUUCACCAUCAAGUGAACACUGUAGUUUACCAAUACACAAUGUGUUGAUUUCUCUACUUUCAGAUAUAUGUGCCAAAGCAAACUUGCAAACAGCCUUCUGUUGUGUGUACAAGUUAAUGGUAAUUAAGUCUCUUCAAUAUAUUGCGGCAGUUAUACUUGAUACAAUGUUCAAUUGUUAAUUCUCUUGAACCAGUUUGAGCAAUUAUGUAUACUCAAUUCAGCGGCAUUAUGGUCAGGCGCGGCGUAGUACGCCAAUAUUUCUAGUAUUCUGAAUAGAUGGUAGUAAUUUGGAUGACCCCUUGCGGCGUCUGAGUCGGUGGAGAGGAAGGUGCCAAUGGUCUUGACAGCCCUCGCCAAAAGGGCAAAGGGCACUGGCAGUGCUGCAUAAAUCAAUAACAAUACGGUACAUUAGCAAAGAUCAAAGCACCUAGUUACAACCACCUGAUACUGGAUGCGACAUAUUCUAGUACUACGUACGAAUCAGGAUAUGCCCUAGUCUAGAUUCGUAAUACUAUAUAUGCCUCAUCCCGUCAUAGAUUGCUAUAUUUUGAGAUGGAGUGAGUAUUGACUUGCAUAUUGGUUGCGUUCUAAGUUUCAACUCCAGUCUCCAAACUAUAACUUCCUCAUUUUCCGUUAGCUUCCACUGUAAAAAUUGAUACAUGAAAAAAAUGUUAUAUAAAAAGGAUAUAGUAGAUUCAACAUGAAAAAUGAUUUAAUGCAGUUAUAUUUUCAUCUAAGCAAACUAUCUCUCCUCAGAAUCUGUAAAGUAUUAUCAGCCCAAAACAAUUACAUUCUGUCAAUCUUAGCAGAAAAACAGCAGCAGCACUCUUCGAUCUAUGCACUCCACGGCAGAUAAAGGUCUUCAAAGUACAGUGUCAGUUCAGAUUUUAUUCAUGAAUGAAUACAGAGGAAUGUUUCAAAUUUAACUGCAAUUUUUGUAGGCAACACAGGCAAUUUGGAGGCCACACAGCCACAGGUAUGUAGGUUAAUUUCACAGAGAUCUCGAAUAACCUACAAAGCCAUUCCAUCUUAUUCAAUUUUCUCUUUCAACCAUAGGUUAAUCCAAGGUUGUGAAAAAGGCAUAUAGACUAGUGGUUGUACUGACCUGAGUAAUACUCUAAAGUCCUGAGUUCAAAUUUCGAUAGGAGCAAAUUACAUAUUGAGUUAUUUGAUGGUUAAGUUCCCUAUCUUAUAGGCUAAGUUCGUAAUUUAAAAAUAUUGUAUAUAUCCGGUUGGAUGUAAAGGCCGGGUAAAAGAUAUCCUUCUCUUAAAACAAAAGUUUAAUCCAAGGCAUCAAGAUCAACCAGAUUGGGUUAUUUGAGGGCUAAGUUCCUAAUUUCAAAAUGUUGUAUAUAUUCGAUUGGAUGUAAAACCAGGUAAAAAAUACCCUUCUCUUAAAAAAUGGUUUUACUCCAAGACACCAAGAUCAACCUGAAUUUUAAUGGAUCUUAAAAAAAAGGUACUAUUAGCCAUGAAAGCGAGAAUAGGAGACGUGACCAUAUUGUAAGAAAACAUAAUUUCAGAAACAUAGUUUGCUCUGUUCGUAAAACCUGAUAACUGAUCUGGCAGCGCCUAUGAUGCUUUAUUAGCAACCACUCUUCAUGCAAAGCAAAACUGGGCCGAUAUCAGUACACAACGCAUAACAUAGUGAAACAAUCAAGCAAACAGCCACACACCAAUUUUUGUUCUUCUGUUUCGUAUACCAACCUUAAACUGAGGAUGAGCAGCCGUGAUCUGGAGGGGAUCGUUGCAGCGAUGGGUGACAAAGGCAGAAGCAAGAACGAAGCCUGACGAGGUGGUGAAUUCAGAAGCAUUCACCUGGAGCAUAAUUGAAAUGUUACUCCCUCCGUUUCACAAUAAUGACUUACAUUAUGAAACGGAGGAAGUUCUACUUAUCAGGAGCUUGUCAAGUCUGAAUUCGCUUGCUAUGAAUGCCACUUCUGAAUUUAUGAGGAGCUUUUCUGUUCAUGUGAUUGAAGCUCAAUUCUCAUUUAUUUAACAAGAUUUGGAAGGAACGAAAUGGUCGAGUCUUCGAGGGCGUGGCAACAUCGUCUUCUUUGCUCUGCGCAGCCAUUGAAGAUGAAUGGGAGUCUUGGAAGGCGGCCGGUCUGUUAACGGCGCUGUGAGAGGCCCUUAUGUGGCUUCCUCCGGGUUCUCCGGAUAGUGGUGUGCAUCGUGUAAAUAGGCGGUGGCUGCGAAGCCUCGCCAUCUCUGUACAUUCUCUAAAUUCUUAAUAUACUACGGUCGGCGUUCUUUGUCGACCCGGCGAAUUUAUUUAA